Nothobranchius furzeri (turquoise killifish) is the source of this 2145-nucleotide long non-coding RNA. Lineage: Eukaryota; Metazoa; Chordata; Actinopteri; Cyprinodontiformes; Nothobranchiidae. The record is from Ensembl.
GAAAGCACUUGUGCAGAAACUUUUUUCCACACUCAGGGCAACUAAAUGAUUUGUUGACAGUCUUAACAUCUGAAUCAGAAGUCCUAAUUUCAUUCCACUGAUUGUCUUCAUCUUUGUUUUUUGUUUCAGCCCAAGAGUCCAACAGCCCAGAGUCUAGAUUCACAUCAUCAUCAUCAUCAUCAUCAUCAUCUCCACUAACUUCAGUCUCUGAAGAAUCAGAUGUUUGUUCAUGAGGGUUCAGAUCUGGGUUCCUGCUAGUUCCUGCUCCUCCACCAGUUUCUGCUGCCAUCUGGUCAGCUGAGCUGCUGGUUGGAACAUCUCUGUCUUCUAUUUGCUGCUGAUGAAGCUGUGAGACCAGAGGUUUCUCUUCAUCAUCCUCACUCUUUAUAGAAACAGCAGUAACAGGAAACCCGACAGCUUCAGUCUCCUCCUUCAAACAGAGAUGCUCUCCCUCCAGACUGGUCCAGAGCUCCUCCUGUUCCUCCUUUAUGUGGAGGUGUUCUGGGUCCUGCUGGUCCACACCAGCACUCUGUUCUUCAGGAGCUUCUUCUUUAACCAGCACCAGCUGUGGAACAGUCUCUUAUAUACAAAAAAACGAUAUAAACACACAAUCUUGGACCGAUACAUGACAGGAUACCACAGAACAGCGAUACGCCCUCUGUUGUCCUGGCGGGGAAUUGCAUUGCAACACUCUCCAGGAGACGAAGAAGUAUGAGAGCAAAACGCUUCCGUCAAUCCCUUGCGGAGCUGACGGAGAAGCAUGAACCAGGCUUAACGAGCAGCCAGUGAUCUCUCCAUAUCCAUAUAAGCCGGAAGCGGCAGCAUGUUUGUUUACAUCGAGCGGUGCGCUCCGUGAUCCACGUGAAAAGGGUGUUGUGGGAAAUUAUGUUCCCCUGAAAUAUUCAGUUUCCCUUAGACAGUCAAGGGCAAAUAUUUCGAAAUCUACAGAACUUAUUGUCCAUUAUGAGGACUAAACUAUCUCAAAUAAAAGAUGGUGAAACUGAGUGAGAUUACAUUCUUUUACAUAACUUUCAUAAAUGAUAUAUAAGCUUGCUGCAAAAGUUGAACAAGAAUGUUUUUACUGUAUCCUUUUAUUGUUUUAGGAGGAAAUACAGAUUAAAAAAAUAACAAGCAUAACAUUAUUACAUUACAUCAUUUUACUGUAAAAGUUAAUCACAAAUAUUGUGAAAAUAGCCUGAAGUGCAAUCUCCCGACACGGGGGGACAGAAUAUUGCUGGGGAACACGAUUUCUCACAACACCGGACCUCCCGGCUGACGUCAACCCUCUUCCGUGUGUGAAUGGUGACAGCUAACAGAACUAGCAUGCUUCCUUCAGGAGUGGUAGGUUAAUAAACAGUCAUAAUUAUAAAUGCUUUAUUUAAAAGUUAGAGUAGCUUGUUUUAAGCUUCGUGUGGGUUAGGCUCAAGCCCCCGCCAUGCAGGACAGAAAUUGAGUCCAAUGCGGAAGUGACAAAAAUUGCAGUUCCACCCUCAUCCACUAGGGGCUGGUAUCAGAAGCGAGCAAAUCCCCAUCGACUCCCAUGUUAAAAAAUACCAAUUUAACAGCAGAAAUAAACAUGUUAACGGCCUGGUACCAAAUCAUGUUUUUGGUUUAAAUUAUCUAGUUUACACUCAUGACAACUUUGAGGGGGGUGAAUUUUUUUCUCACUCUUCUGUUUAAGUGUAUUAAAAGCCUAAAAUUCAGUAUAAUUAAUGAGCAUCAGACCCACGUGACCACAGAGCUAGCUCCGGGGAAAGGCCUCAGUAGAGCCUCGGUCUGGCUUGGAAACUGCUCUGGGAUUUUGAGUCUCUGUGUUUGUGUAUUCUUUUUUGGAUAUUUUUUGUGCAAUUGUUGGACAAAAUGACUUGCUGUGGCAUUAAUUGCACUAAUAGAGCGUCCAAGGAGUCUCCACUUCAUUUUUUUCGGUAAGUAAAAUUAUAUUUAUGUAUUUUAGGUCACUGCCGAGCUGAGCUUAGAUUUUAACAUGUACUGUUUAACCAUGAAAUUUAAAUGUAAUAGGGUAAAACCCAGUGCAUUUAACAUAAUGCUGCACUUUAGAAAAUGGGUUGAAAUAUAACAUGUUGGUGGAGCUGGGUUCCGACUAUCGGCUUGUGGAGCUCUCGGGAGACCGAUGUUUUCCACCCG